RNAcentral lists this small RNA (17 nucleotides) under Arabidopsis thaliana (thale cress). RNAcentral describes it as "ATSL081840". The record is from RNAcentral. Lineage: Eukaryota; Viridiplantae; Streptophyta; Magnoliopsida; Brassicales; Brassicaceae.
AAACUUGAACAAAAAAA